Long non-coding RNA from Mirounga angustirostris (Northern elephant seal), 6801 nucleotides. RefSeq lists it as uncharacterized. The record is from RefSeq and is a predicted model, not a curated record. Lineage: Eukaryota; Metazoa; Chordata; Mammalia; Carnivora; Phocidae. The transcript is spliced from 4 exons.
GGAGCCGAACUUCGAAGCCCCGAGGCUGGUGCCUUUCAUUCGCCCCACACUGACGCGGGAGAUAACACAUAUAUUUAGAGGAUUCUUCUGGGGAUGUGUGUGUGUGUGUGUGUUUUGUUUUUUGUUUUUGUUUUUUAAGUGUGAGGCAUAUUCAGUUUGGAAUUCUUUGCAGUAAUUAAGAUUUGGGAAAGGGUGAAUUUUAGAAAUAGGAGCCCUGCAAAUAAGUUUUAUUGGAAAUAGGGGGAAAGGGCUUGCGGAUAAGUGUGUGAUGAAACAGAAUUACGAGUUCCUCCAGGGGAGGCCACUCCUUCGAAAGCUGCUAAUGCAUAAUUGUAAAGCCCUGGGGAGAGCCUUCUGGAUUGUUCCUUAACUGCAAGCACACACAAGCCGGACAAGCCCUGCGCGCAGAAAGGUCGGGGUAAUGGGGCGGCCAGGGAAUGGUCUCUAGGCCAGCAGAGCUGCGAGGGCGGUGGCCCCAGCUCUGGCCUCAUGUCCUCCUUGGCACGGUGCUUCCAGCCACCUGCCAACGGGCUGACGCUAGAUUCUAGGGAGAUUUCCGUUGUCUUAAUCCCGACACCCGGGCUUCUCAUCUCCAUGUUCACAGCACAUGCCAGGAGGUGAGGGAAACACCGAUGGCUUUUGAGACAUCUGAUUUGACGACGGUGCGCAUCAAGCUGCGUGUCAAGGACACUUGAAGGUGCCCUCUCCAAGAAGAGCUACCUGGCUCUUUCCUUCUUCUAUGAUAGAAACACGACCUUCAAGUUAUGAUGGACCCCGCUGCAUCUCAGGAACGUAAGGGACCAUAAUUGGAGAGUGCUGUCCGCGCCGAGAUGCGCAUAAAGGAGGUAGAGCCAGAAAUGAGUCAGAAGGGCAGAGAGGUGGGUGUGGCACCCAUGGGACUUGGGGGAGGGGAGGGGCCUGGUGCCCGCAGAGCCCUGAGGCAAAGGCCUGUCCUUUGGGUGGAGUGAGUGUCGAGGUAUGUGGACAAAUCCCGAGAUGGAGCCCUGUGGGAGCUCCGGUGUUCCAGAUUGCCCACAUCUGUCAUCUGGGCUGGGGCCGGUCCUGGGGCCAGAGGUGGACACAGCCCAGGGACGAGCACAGCAAGAAAGCAGGGUCUGGCGUCCCCACAGACGCCACAACCAAUCUCUGGAUCUGAGCCUGAGCGCUCGGUCAGGUCACAGGGCAGGAGGCCAGGGGUAGGGGUUGCGAGACCAGGUCGGAGAGACGUGGGCAAAGGAAGUAGCAGCCUUGGGCUCGAGCGGUGGAGGCGUCUUCCGGGGUGAGAGCGUUUAAUUCCACUUUAUUUGGCAUUUCCGACUCCCUUGUUCUGUCUUUUUGUAGAAAAGGACACACUGAGAGAUUGUCGACUGCUUUGAUACAAAAAUAUAACUCCGUCCCAUUCCUACUUUCUAGUCUACCGAUUCUCUUCUUUUAUUACUAUUCUUUAAAGAAGUGGCUGCAGUACAACGUCUUCUUUGCGGGCUGACGGUGGUGCUGAGCUGCCCUCACACGCAGUCCUUGUGCACAGACAUCCACUCCGUCGUGCUCUCAAUGCUCCCGUUCCCAUGGGACAGGACAAAACGGAGAUGUGGACUCCUACGCACAGAGAGAUCGUGAUUUCAAAAAUCACACAUCUAACACAAGUGGCAGGAAAUGUGGAAGAAAGCCGACAGUCAGCCUUAGGUGCCAGACCUUUUAGGGAAUUUCCUUUCCUUUUUUUUUUUUUUUCUUUUUGUUUGUUUAUUGGAAAUUUCCACAAGUGACUUUGCUCUGCUUUUAUAGUGACAACCGAAUCAAUAUUAAAACCAAGCCAAACCAACCCAGGGAUCAUGAGCAGCAUGAGGAGGUCAGGCCGUGGUCCUCCCUGGGCAGGGACUCCUUCUCCCACAGGGUCAAGCCCAGUCCCUGGGAUGCCCGGGCUCUGAGGCCUCUUCUCUGUCCAGCCUCUGGCCCCAACCCUGAUGUGUCACCUCAGUCAGCGUGUCCCGAACCUGCUGAUGAAGUAAGCAACAGAACACAUACCACUGUCAGAGAUGGGGAGUUGGAAAGGGGGUGCAGGCCGCGGAGGACAUGGAAGAGGGGAGCUGGUCAGGGUCGCACAGAAACAGAUGCACUUUCGCGCUGCUCCUCAUUGGCCGAACCCAACCAGAGCUCAUGCGUGGGAGUCCAGCUGAUGGGCAUCCCAGGGUCCAGAGCAGGUGACAAAGCAUGGAGGCAGGAACCACAAGGGAAGAGAACAGCUGGGCCCAGUCACAAAGCUCGAGAUGGUCACCUCAGUGCAGCUGGUGUUUUCUUCUGUGAAAACCUGCACUCCGUCCCAGCUCUGCUCCUGCUCCAGGGGCCAGCCUAUUUGUUUUGUUUUGUUUUUUUCUAAGAUUUUAUUUAUUUAUUUGAGAGAGAGAAUGAGAGAGAGCACGAGAGGGGGGAGGGGCAGAGGGAGAAGCAGACUCCCCGCCGAGCAGGGAGCCCGAUGCGGGACUCGAUCCCGGGACUCCGGGAUCAUGACCCGAGCCGAAGGCAGUCGCCCAACCGACUGAGCCACCCAGGCGCCCGGGGCCAGCCUAUUUGUGCCCCGACACCUUCCCUGGGCACUUUGUUUCCAGCUUCACCAAGGCCAGCACAGACCGCUCCCAGAGACCCUGCCCAGAUCUGCAAGCCCAGAUCUGGGAGCUGAAAUGUUGGAUUCGGAAGCUGAAGAGUUCCCACCUGCUGCAGAAUCCUCCCAGAGCUCCGCCUCCAAGGGCACUAGGCUCCUGGGAGAAAGUUUCUAUCCUUUUGUUCACACACACUUGCUGUGGCCUUGCCGUGUGUGGGCAGCAUCUCUGCAUUCACCGGUAGAAAUGCUGACCUUGAGAAUGGGCCAGAGAAUUCCUUGACAGACACAAAAAGAGGCUAUCCCAGACCAGCACUCCUUACUGGUUGUUUACCGUGCACAAAGCACCAAGGGCCUAAGGGACGCCUGGGGGGCUCAGUCGGUUAAGUGUCUGCCUUCUGCUCAGGUCAUGAUCUGCAGGUCCUGGGAUCAAGCCCCACAUCGGGCUCCCUGCUCAGCGGGAAGCCUGCUUCUCCCUCUGCCUCUCCCCUGCUCGUGCUCCCUCUCUCUCUCAUACUCUCUGUCUCUCUCUCAAAGAGAUAAAUAAAAUCUUAAAAAAAAACCCCAAAACACAAAGGGCCUAUGACCUUCUAAGCAACCCUCCACACCUCCCCUCACCAAAAAAUUUAUGGUAAUUUGGAUAAAAGAUAUGUGGACUCUGAGACAUGAAAGGAAAACUGAAAAAUCAAGAUUAAUAAAUUAAUAAUUUAAUAAACUAAUAAAAUUCGUACCCUUUCAAUUUUUUAAAAUCCUAUUUUCUGUCCUCUAAAUAUAUGCCAGUUGGUGGUCUCAAGUCCCAUUCCCCCUCCUGAAAUUGCCUUUCUUAUAGGUUCCGCCAAAUUUGACUCCCUUUGUUUUCUUUAGAUUCUUUAGAAUUCAGUAAGUCUGUGUCUAAGGGUUUGACAACAUGUUGUAAGCUGGCUGGUCGUCUGGAGAGCUGUGCUAGAGAUGGAGUUAGGGAUGAAGAGUUUGUUGGGGGUAAUGGCUGUGACAGCUAAGGGGAGAGGGCAGGACUGAGCCGGUGGGGGUGGGGUGGGGGGGACAUCAGGCCAUGGUGCAGACUAGACAGUCCCUGCUCCCCACCUAAGAGGGAGUGCUGGAGGAAAAUGCCCAAGAGAGGAGCUCUGCGUUGGGUGGGAAAACCAAGCCCUUGCAUGGCCUUGCUGGGUCAUUGGUUGGGGCCACCUAAAGAGGACCAUGACCUUGUCUUAAAGCUGAGGUGGACCCUGAAGGAGCCCACAGCUGGAGGUGUCAGACGAAUGUGCCCCCCACCCCCAGCCUGGUAGCGAGCCCCUUCUCAAAGUUUCAUCCUAGUGGCACUUCUGCACGUCAGCAAGCACUUCCUUUGGACCUUGAUGAAAUCCUGUUUUGUUGGCUGCCGUGUUGAUUGAUGAAAAGCAGACGUUCACAGAAGGAGGAAUCACAUUCAGGAAGUUAAGACGCCCACAUCUGGAACCAAACUCUGGCCAGGGGAUCUCCUGACCCUACUUGCCACUUUUAUUCUUGCUGAAGCUUCCUUGUGAGGAACUUUUCCAUGCUGAACUUUCUGGAAAAAGCUGCAGAUCUCUUUCUACUCGGGGACCAGAUAAAGCCCACGGGUUCUUCAAGAGAGGGUCUCAUUUCCAGAAAGCAGUGGCCUCUGCAGGCAGGAGAUGGUAGCGGACCACGGGGUGGGGUGCGGGGGCUGGUGUUGUCCUCCAAGAGGCUGAUGACGAUGAACCCAGGCCUGCCAGGCGCACAUAUGUAGUUUAGAUGGGUCCAGGCCAGGGUGACUGUCACAGAAUGAUUGGUAUCCAGAACUAUGCUCCCUGGGAUUGGUGUUUAUUCCAUAAUUUUCAACUCAGUGGAUGGUCUUUAGUUCCCAUAGCUGUGGAGAACUUUUCUGAUUAUGAAUUAUUAUGAAGUGGUAUUUUCAAAACUUCAGUCUAAAAAUAAUGGAUUUGGAAUGGUUCAGAGCAAGCUUCUAAAUAUUUCAACACUGCCUUGCAUCUUUGUUUCAACUUUUGCCUACUCAGACUGAAAUUGCUUAAGAUUUAUGAAUCUGGUAAAAGAAUGCGCUGGUGUUAAAGUCUCUAUAGAAAAAAAAUAACUAAAAAUAGCAUUAAUUUGCACAAUUUGGUAAUUAUACCAUGAAGCAUUGUGGAAGACUACAAUGAUCUCAUCAAGGCAAUCAAAGGAUUUCAUGACUGGAAGGGCAUCGAUUUUCCACAGUGAUUUCAGAAACACAUGUCCUGAUAUGUCAAAUCCCCUCUCUUUCCAGAACGGUCUCAACUGUUUAAAAGCAUAUGAAGCAGGAAGGAAAACACGAGGUCUGCUUUCCCUAGUUUCUUAACCACCGCACGUGGGUUGUGUAGUUAAGAAAAAGGCUUUGUUUUGCUUUCUGACAAAUGACCCCAUUUUAUCGCAUUUUAUCUCCUUUCAGUGCAGGGAUUCUAUGACUUGACCCUCCCAAGCUUGUCUUUGAAUCUCAGUCCCCCUCAAAGACUGAGAGGCUGGAUAGGAGGCAAUGGCUCAUCACCGUAGCUGGUGUUAUAUUCUAACAGGCAGGGUGGGCGUCCGUGAGGGUCAGCGCAGCGCUGGUCCCCAGAAGGGCCACUGAGGUGUCGCUGCAGGUCUUUGGGGGCUCAGGCAGGAAAGCUGGAAUAAGAGGAACUUUUUCAGAGUUGGUGUUGGCCAAGGGCAAGCAAAAAAGCGUGUUUCUCUUUCCAGCAUAAAAGGCAGUAUAUCAAAUGAAAGUUAUUUGUGUCAGAAUCAUUUCACUGAAGAUUAACUGUGUAGUUCUAUGCUCCUUUGGUCAGUGAAAAAGUGAGUUUUUAUGGCAUGUUGUAUUACACAACCCCGGGCUUAUGUUCUUCAUUUAUUAUUGAGUGUGUAUGAGUGUGUGAGUGUGUGAGUGUGUGUGUGUCUUCUUUUUUACCUAUACCCAUUGCCAUCACUGGCUCUAAAUUUUCCAUGCUAUAGGAAGGAAUUGGCAGGAGCUAAAGUGUCUAGUUUCCUGUGGUUGUGGUAACAAAUGACCACAAUCAGGUCACAAAGAGGGGGAUAUAAAAUAAAAUAAGUUUAUUCUCUCACAGUUCUGGAAGCUGGAAGUCGGAAAUCAAGGUGUUGAAAAGCCAUGUCCCCUCUGAAGGCUCAGAGAAGCCUCCCUUGCUGUGUCUCCCGGCCUCGGGCCAUUGCUGGCGCUCCCUGGUGAUCCCUGGUGAUCCCUGAUGAUCCCUAGUGCUCCCUGGCGCUCCUCGGCACACAGAUGCCUCCCCACUGCCAUGCCUGCCUCCAUGUCCCUCGGCCACCUUCUCUGUGAGCAUCGCUCCUCUGUGGCUCUGUCCAAAUUUUCCCUUCUCAUCAGGACACCAGUCCCUAGGGCCCAUCCUGAUCCAAGAUAACUUCAUCUUAACUUGAUUGUAUCUGCAGAGACUCUAUUUCCAAAUAAGGUCACAUUCACAGGUACCCAGAGGUUAGGACCUAAAUAGACCUUUCUGGGGGAUCCAGUUCAACCCACAGAAAAGGACAAUCAUACAAUUAAAAGGCGGACAGACCGGGAGCAUCUGUAACAGCUUCGGUUUUAGCUCAUGGUCCUCCCUGAUUCACUGAGGGGGCCCUUUUCUCUCAUGUGGGAUCACGAGCCACGUUCAGACUUGGUGGGAGACAGGUGUCCUGACUGAUGAGCAAGGUAUCCAAAUGUGCUGUGGACAUAGGAGGGGGGAUGGAAGCGCGUAUACAGCUGACCUGACAACCUGGUGCAUUAUUUCUUGGCUGAAAUAUUCGCUCCUGGGUGUUACAUACCCGUAUUCGUGAAGCGAGCCAAUACCUCAAUCCCCAUAUUCAAAACCAAGCUCUUCACUUAAAUCUGAUUUCACCCCAGCUCCCACCAAAGAUUUGUCAUGCUAUACAAAUGAGCACUCACUUAGCCAGUGUCCCUGGGAUGUGUAGGGCCACAUUCUGGUCACCCACCAUUCAGAUACAUCCACAGAAAGUGCAUUUUUCAAAACAAGAUGUGGGCUUUCUGAAAUUACAUCAUAAAUCCUUGACUGGGAUGCUAAGAAAUUUAAAAGUUUCAUGGAAGGGAAAACAGAAUUGUGUUUCUUUUACUCUUAUAUAUUACCUUAUGUUCCAUGGUUACUAAGAAAUCCUAACAAAAGAGGACAUGUUAUGUCAUUUAUCCCCGAAUUUUGUGAGUCUUAUUCAUAGAUUUCACCUCUAGUCAUGCA